Molecule: small RNA, 881 nt
Filed under: Pongo abelii (Sumatran orangutan)
Lineage: Eukaryota; Metazoa; Chordata; Mammalia; Primates; Hominidae
Description: retained intron
Source: RNAcentral
GACGCCGCCGGGCUGAGAGACGAGCUUGCGGGGUUUGCGGUUGAUGGCUCCGACUGAAGGGCUGGAGGCGGCGUAUGCCGCUGUUCUUGCUGUCGCUCCGGACACCUCCGUCCGCUUCUGGUCAUGAGAGGAGACAGAGGCCUGAAGCAAAGACAUCUGGGUCAGAAAAAAAGUAUUUAAGGGCCAUGCAAGCCAAUCGUAGCCAACUGCACAGUCCUCCAGGAACUGGAAGCAGUGAGGAUGCCUCAGCCCCUCAGUGUGUCCACACAAGAUUGACAGAAGGUUCUUGUCUUCAUUCUGGAGAUGUUCAUAUCCAGAUAAACUCCAUACCUAAAGAAUGUGCAGAAAAUGCAAGCUCCAGAAAUAUAAGGUCAGGUGUCCAUAGCUGUGCCCAUGGAUGUGUACACAGUCGCUUACGGGGUCACUCCCACAGUGAAGCAAGGCUGCCUGAUGAUACUGCCGCAGAAUCUGGAGAUCACGGUAGUAGCUCCUUCUCAGAAUUCCGCUAUCUCUUCAAGUGGCUGCAAAAAAGUCUUCCAUAUAUUUUGAUUCUGAGUGUCAAACUUGUUAUGCAGCAUAUAACAGGAAUUUCUCUUGGAAUUGGGCUGCUAACAACUUUUAUGUAUGCAAACAAAAGCAUUGUAAAUCAGGUUUUUCUAAGAGUAAGUAUAACAAGCAACUAAAAAAUUAUUAACUGUUUCUCUCCAUAGACUUUAGAGAAAUAAUUUUGAGAGAAAUAGGAAAUAACUUGAAGGAAAUAGGAAGUAAUAGGAUAUAUUGUAACAUCCAUGAUUUAUUAAAUUUGUAAUCUAAAUCCUGGAAUAAAUUAUCUCUCCUAAUGCUGAAUUCCUUUACCUUACCUUCUUUGUAAGAAAAAAAAA